This 338-nucleotide unclassified non-coding RNA is filed under the name soil metagenome. Its description in RNAcentral is "partial contains 5.8S ribosomal RNA, internal transcribed spacer 2, and large subunit ribosomal RNA". The stretch from base 1 to 121 matches the Rfam family "5.8S ribosomal RNA", at positions 35 to 154 of the family's 154-position model. The record is from RNAcentral.
GAUGAAGAACGCAGCGAAAUGCGAUAAGUAAUGCGAAUUGCAGAAUUUCCGUGAGUCAUCGAAUCUUUGAACGCACAUUGCGCCCACUGGUAUUCCGGGGGGCAUGCCUGUUCGAGCGUCAUUUCAACCCUCAAGCUCUGCUUGGUAUUGGGCUCCGUCCUCCUCGGACGCGCCUCAAAGACCUCGGCGGUGGCGUCUUGCCUCAAGCGUAGUAGAAACACCUCGCUUUGGAGUGCAUGGCGUCGCCCGCCGGACGAAACCUUUUGUAUUUUCUCAAAGGUUGACCUCGGAUCAGGUAGGGAUACCCGCUGAACUUAAGCAUAUCAAUAAGCGGAGGA